Molecule: ribosomal RNA, 777 nt
Filed under: Triticum aestivum (bread wheat)
Lineage: Eukaryota; Viridiplantae; Streptophyta; Magnoliopsida; Poales; Poaceae
Description: partial small subunit ribosomal RNA
Source: RNAcentral
AUGGAUCAGCGUGGAUUUGUGCGCAAGUCCAUCGUCCGGAUCUCCUUCAAGUGGCCGAAUCCUGACAACAAGGGGAAGAUACUGACCGUCGUCCUCCCCGGCACCAUCGUCUCCAUCAAGGACGAUGGAUCCUGCGUCGUGCUCGCGGAUGACACAUUCUUCGGACAGGAGAACUGCCCUUUCGUGGUGAAUCUGCCGACUGCCGGGGGAUACGAUGGUGUGCCAGUGGCUCCAUCGAUGCAGUUCUUCGUAGAUGGCUUCUGUGCAUUGGUUCUUCAGGUGCAACCAAAUGGUUAUGUGCAACCGGUGACAUUUGAGACUGGGCCUGUUCGACGAGAGGAGAAAGUGUAUGGCUUUCUAUUUCCACAGGAGGAUUUCUUCACGCCAACAAUGUAUUGUCCAGGAAACGUCACGUCUAGGAUUUCUUUAAGCGGUGGAGACUACAAAUAUUUUACACGACACUGGGCCUAUUCUCGUACUGCGACGGAAUGCAUGAGCGGGACAGCGGAACAUGCAUCGAUCGAUGGAGGAACAGGCCCAUUGGCAAAUUGGAGGCAUGGUAUUCCUUUUCAUUCAUUUGGUCGUUUCGGAUCACCUAUAUUCAACCAAAGCGGUCAUCUUGUUGGGAUAUCUUAUCAAGAUUACGAGGCAUGGUCCGUGAAGUUCCUGCAACAAGCUGUCUUUAGGGAAGCGGAGAUCAGCAGUGCAUUGGGUAGUGUUUCCUAUGUACUGAACGGAAACCCAAUUCCCCGCGAAGUCCCAAUUCUGCCCGUCUAG